Molecule: non-coding RNA, 853 nt
Organism: Coffea arabica (coffee)
Lineage: Eukaryota; Viridiplantae; Streptophyta; Magnoliopsida; Gentianales; Rubiaceae
Source: RefSeq, a predicted model, not a curated record
AGCAGGCUCUUAACUGCUUGGCAGUUGGCAUGACAAAUAAAAAGCUGUCCUUCAUGCAUCGUUUAGCUUAUCCUCCGUUCUAGAUAUUGGUUAUUUUGACUAGAGAACAGCAGAAACAUAGGCAACAAUUUUAGGGCAAUGUUCAUCCCUGAGACACACUCCAGACGUUGCAUACCCCAGAUGAAGCCCAUAACUAAACCCAAGUAUGCAUGCAAUCGCGGUUUCUGUCUCCUGAACUUGACCCUUUUAUCUGCAGCUACUAACUUAGUUGAAGAAUGGGUACACAAUGGAGCUUCUUCGUUUGGUUCUCUAAUUGAAAUAACCCAAAUAAACAAAGAGAGAUGGAAAAUAGGUUUGACAAUGUAUUUUCGACUGAAGGAUCUUUACUGCUUAAGCCAGUAUGUGCACAUUGUCUUACCUCAGACUCAGAUAAGCUGGACCUUAAUUUCUGAAAGUUUCCCAAACUUCCAGGGAUUUCCUUUACAAAUCCCUUUAAGAUUCUUAUGUUAUUUCGUUUGGAUUGAACAUGUCGAAGAAAUGGUUCCUGCUUCGACCGGGGAGUGGGAUGAGGCACAGAGAAGUAUAUUUGACAGGUGUAUUUUGGAUCCAGAGAUGUAAUGUCCUACUUUCUAAUCGAAUUGGCACAUAAACUAGUAUUUCCAAGCAAAAUGAAGACAUGAUCACCUAUUGGAAAGCUUUUGCCAUAAAUAAUAGGAGUCCUACAAUAAUCUCUGAUACAAGCAGUGGUAUGCAAAUGCAGAGUGAGUAGGUAAGAUUGGGCAGUAACUGAGUGCAAGAGAAAUUGCUAGAGCUGCAAGACCUUGCUGGACAUGAGAAAGCCAAUUUGUAGGAG